This 38-nucleotide ribosomal RNA is filed under the name Eimeria maxima. RNAcentral's name for it is "partial 28S ribosomal RNA". Lineage: Eukaryota; Apicomplexa; Conoidasida; Eucoccidiorida; Eimeriidae. The record is from RNAcentral.
UAGACCUGAAAUUAGUCGAGGUUACCCGCUGAAUUUAA